GGUCUCUUGGUGCAAUGGUAGCACGCUCUGAUCCCUGUGGCAUAGUAAUCUAAGUUCGAGUCCUGGAGAGAUCA
Non-coding RNA from Acephala macrosclerotiorum, 74 nucleotides. NCBI's taxonomy places the organism in Eukaryota, Fungi, Ascomycota, Leotiomycetes, Helotiales, Mollisiaceae. The record is from the annotation of a GenBank genome assembly.